GGAAAGAAAACGCUCUGGUUAAUACCCGGGGCGGAUGACGGUACCGGAAGAAUAAGCACCGGCUAACUACGUGCCAGCAGCCGCGGUAAUACGUAGGGUGCAAGCGUUAAUCGGAAUUACUGGGCGUAAAGCGUGCGCAGGCGGUCCGCUAAGACAGAUGUGAAAUCCCCGGGCUUAACCUGGGAACUGCAUUUGUGACUGGCGGGCUAGAGUAUGGCAGAGGGGGGUAGAAUUCCACGUGUAGCAGUGAAAUGCGUAGAGAUGUGGAGGAAUACCGAUGGCGAAGGCAGCCCCCUGGGCCAAUACUGACGCUCAUGCACGAAAGCGUGGGGAGCAAACAGGAUUAGAUACCCUGGUAGUCCACGCCCUAAACGAUGUCAACUAGUUGUCGGGUCUUCAUUGACUUGGUAACGAAGCUAACGCGUGAAGUUGACCGCCUGGGGAGUACGGUCGCAAGAUUAAAACUCAAAGGAAUUGACGGGGACCCGCACAAGCGGUGGAUGAUGUGGAUUAAUUCGAUGCAACGCGAAAAACCUUACCUACCCUUGACAUGUAUGGAAUCCUGCUGAGAGGUGGGAGUGCCCGAAAGGGAGCCAUAACACAGGUGCUGCAUGGCUGUCGUCAGC
Molecule: ribosomal RNA, 626 nt
Filed under: Burkholderia sp. JAG14
Lineage: Bacteria; Pseudomonadati; Pseudomonadota; Betaproteobacteria; Burkholderiales; Burkholderiaceae
Description: bacterial SSU rRNA
Rfam family: Bacterial small subunit ribosomal RNA
Source: RNAcentral